RNAcentral lists this ribosomal RNA (253 nucleotides) under uncultured bacterium. RNAcentral's name for it is "partial 16S ribosomal RNA". It matches the Rfam family "Bacterial small subunit ribosomal RNA", at positions 524 to 776 of the family's 1533-position model. The record is from RNAcentral.
UACGGAGGAUGCAAGCGUUAUCCGGAUUCAUUGGGUUUAAAGGGUGCGCAGGCGGAUUAGUAAGUCAGUGGUGAAAGCCUACAGCUUAACUGUAGAACUGCCGUUGAUACUGCUAAUCUUGAGUGUAGUUGAGGUAGGCGGAAUGUGUCAUGUAGCGGUGAAAUGCUUAGAUAUGACACAGAACACCGAUCGUGAAGACAGCUUACCAAGCUACAACUGACGCUCAUGCACGAAAGCGUGGGGAUCAAACAGG